CUCCGUCCCGAAAUUCAUGUCGCAGCUUACAUUUUGCAGAAAACCCCUCCAUCUUAUACCGACAGAACCCGCAGUCCCCGUUCCCCUCCGACUGCGCAGCUCGCCCACGCUCGGUCGCUCGCCCACUUGCCGGCGACGCCUAGCAGCUCCCCCACGCCGAGCCGCGGCUCCCCCGCGCCGCCCUGCCGCGCCGCAGCUCGCCCGCGCAGCUCCCCCGCCUAGUUCUCUCCUCCCUACCCUGCAAAUACUGCUUCCGCCGCGCCACAGCUCCCCCGCGAAGCUCAAGGAACGGCUUUGCCCCUUCCUUGAGUCCCUCGUCAUCGCCUUCCUCGAGUCCCUCGUCGUCGGCUCAUCGCCAUGGCUUGUGCCCUCCUUCCUUCUCCAUGGUGAGCUCCUCCCUGCUGCCUCCAUCCAUGUCCGCCAUCGAGCAGGCCAUGGUGGCGGCCAGAUCCGCGCCUGCUCGUCAGGAGACGGACGCCAUGGAGCUGUUCGUCAAGGUCCGACCUUGGUGAGUGCCGACGCCAAGCAGGGCGUCGAGCAGGCGUGCUCCGCCGGUGAGUCGCUCUAGAAGGAGCUUGAGGAGAUGGGUGUGCCGGUGUGUCAAGAUCUGUCGCUGGUGUGCUGUAAGGAGUAGAAUUCUGAAUUUAAGUUGGAGACAACAUUUCUGAACCUUGUACAGAACUGGGCUUUACACAACUGGGUGUUUUCAGGUACUCCAUCAGAGGAGCAGCUCUUCCAUGGGGUCCAGCAGCGUUUCCAGUCGCAGGUAUACGUAUUGUCUGAAACUAUGUACUCCUUGCGACGAGCCAGACGACAAGAGCAAAGGCUCCCCCUUGCAAGCUCGACGGUAGCGGCGGCGUCUUCUUCGCAGCAGUACGAAGAGAUCACAAUCUUACUAAGAUCCUGUUCCUGGGCGGGUUAGUGGCCGUCGACCACAACCACCACCACCAGUAGCCGGCGGCCGAAGUGGACCAGCGCGGCGGCCGAAUCGGGGGCGAAGUGGACCAGCGCUGCGGCGGUGGGCGGCAGAAUUGGGGGCAAAUUGGACCAGCGUGGCGGCGGUGGACGGCGGAAUCGGGGGCAAAGUGGACCAGCGCAACGGCGGUGGGUGGCGGAGGCCCUGCUCGUGGGUGGGCAGCGGAGGUCCUCCUGGGCGGGCUCGUCGGCGGCGCAGGGCCUGUUGUGGGCGGCCUCUUGGGCGGGCUCGUCGGCAGAGCAGGACCUGCUCGGGCAAUGGGCGGCUGGCCAUGGCGCCGCGCGGGCGACGGACGGAGGAGGAAGAACGAGAUGGGGACUAAUUUGUCUGAGCUUUAGAAGUUCAAGGGCUUUUCCGCAAAAACAUCACCGUACUGCGCGUGCGACAUGUUUUUCAGGACGGAGUAUAAAAGAAAUUAAAGAAAGCCACCUAGUGGCUGCCGCCUAGCGGCCCUACGGGAACGACAAUCGACGCGUUGUAGCCAGGAGCACAUCUAUCAUAAGGCCGAGCCGAUCCCGGUAACGCUGCCUUAACGGCGGGUGCCAGUCCUGCUGCCUUAACGGCGGGUGCCAGUCCUGCAGAAAAGCAAGAAAUUUGAAGGAGUCAGACACUUAUCUCGGGAAGACCUCAGUCACCAUCUACUGUCAAGACCAAAUUUUGUGUAAUUUCUGUUCCUCUCACAGGAUGAAUGGUGCUUACUCUCUCCGUCUCGGUGUAUAAGUCACUCCCGUAGUUCUAGGUCAUUGAUUUGAGAAAUUAAAUGUGUUAUAUGUCAU
Triticum aestivum (bread wheat) is the source of this 1752-nucleotide long non-coding RNA. RefSeq lists it as uncharacterized. The record is from RefSeq and is a predicted model, not a curated record. The transcript is spliced from 4 exons. Lineage: Eukaryota; Viridiplantae; Streptophyta; Magnoliopsida; Poales; Poaceae.